GGUACAGAGUCAAUGUGGAGGCUAUAUACAGGGGGUACCGGUACAGAGUCAAUGUGGAGGCUAUAUACAGGGGGUAUCGGUACAGACUCAAUGUGGAGGCUAUAUACAGGGGGUACCGGUACAGAGUCAAUGUGGAGGCUAUAUACAGUGGGUACCGGUACAGAGUCAAUGUGGAGGCUAUAUACAGUGGGUACCGGUACAGAGUCAAUGUGGAGGCUAUAUACAGGGGGUACCGGUACAGAGUCAAUGUGGAGGCUAUAUACAGGGGGUACCGGUACAGAGUCAAUGUGGAGGCUAUAUACAGGGGGUACCGGUACAGAGUCAAUGCGGAGGCUAUAUACAGGGAGUAGUUGUACAGAGUCAAUGUGGAGGCUAUAUACAGGGGUUACCGGUACAGAGUCAAUGUGGAGGCUAUAUACAGGGUAUUACGGUACAGAGUCAAUGUGGAGGCUAUAUACAGGGGGUACCGGUACAGAGUCAAUGUGGAGGCUAUAUACAGGGGGUACCGGUACAGAGUCAAUGUGGAGGAUAUAUACAGGGUAUUACGGUACAGAGUCAAUGUGGAGGCUAUAUACAGGGGGUACCGGUACAGAGUCAAUGUGGAGGCUAUAUACAGGGGGUACCGGUACAGAGUCAAUGUGGAGGCUAUAUACAGGGGGGUACCGGGACAGAGUCAAUGUGGAGGCUAUAUACAGGGGGGUACCGGUACAGAGUCAAUGUGGAGGCUAUAUACAGGGGGGUACCGGUACAGAGUCAAUGUGGAGGCUAUAUACAGGGGGUACCGGUACAGAGUCAAUGUGGAGGCUAUAUACAGGGGGUACCGGUACAGAGUCAAUGUGGAGGCUAUAUACAGGGGGUACCGGUACAGAGUCAAUGUGGAGGCUAUAUACAGGGGGUACCGGUACAGAGUCAAUGUGGAGGCUAUAUACAGGGGGGUACCGGUAC
Molecule: long non-coding RNA, 945 nt
Filed under: Salmo salar (Atlantic salmon)
Lineage: Eukaryota; Metazoa; Chordata; Actinopteri; Salmoniformes; Salmonidae
Description: lncRNA (ENSSSAG00000089940.1)
Source: RNAcentral